This 206-nucleotide long non-coding RNA is filed under the name Mytilus galloprovincialis (Mediterranean mussel). The record is from RNAcentral. Lineage: Eukaryota; Metazoa; Mollusca; Bivalvia; Mytilida; Mytilidae.
UAAAUUCAAAAUAAAUUAUUGCCAUUCAUUAUAAAUAAAUUUCUAUCAAAAAUAAGCCUCAAAGAUAUAUAUUAAAAUACGAAUAACAACGUACACAGAUGUUGCGUAUGAAUACACAACGUUAGAGUGGGCGUGUCUCCAUAAAAAUUGAUAACAUUGAAAAUAAAGCUAAUUCUUUUAACCAAUCAGAAGACAGUAAAUACACC